GACGAACGCUGGCGGCAGGCUUAACACAUGCGAGUCGCACGACAACGCUCUGGCUUCGGCCAGCGCGAGUACAGUGGCGGACGGGUGCGUAUCUCGUAAAUCACGCUGCCCACAGGCGCAGAGGAUAACUCACGGGAAACCGUGGCUAAUACCGCACGUCUUCUGGACCCCUCAUGGGGACCAGAUGAAAGCCUUCGGGCGCCUUUGGAUGGGUCUACGUUGGAUUAUCUUGUUGGUGAGGCCACGGCUCAGCAACGCAACAAUCCAUAUCUGGUCUGAUAAGACGAUCAGCCGCACUGGGACUGAGACACGGCCCACACUCCUACGGGACGCAACAGUGGGGAAUCUUGCUCAAUGGGGUCACCCCUGAUGCAGCCAUGCCGCGUGGAAGAACACACCCCUAUGGGGCGUAAACUCCUUUUCUGAAAGAAGAAACCCCUGUACGUUCCUGGCGCGACCGUAUUUCAUGAAGAACCACCGGCUAACUCCCUGCCACCACCCGCGGUAAUACGGACGGUGCAAGCGUUGUCCUGAAUCACUGGGUGUGAAGGGUGCGCAGGCGGGGCAACCAGUCGGAUGUGAAACCCCCUGGCUCAACCAGGGACGUGCAUUCCAAACUGUUGCUCUUGAGUCCCGGAGAGGCUGUCGGAAUUCGUGGUGUAGCGGUGAAAUGCGUAGAUAUCACGAGGAACACCAGAGGCGAAAGCGGGCAGCUGGACGGGUAGUGACGCUCAGGCAAGAAAGUGUGGGGAGCAAACAGGAUUAGAUACCGUGGUAGUCCACGCUGUAAACGAUGAACGCUCGCCGUUGCCCCGCUCAAGGGGCAGUGGUUAAGUUAACGCGUUAAGCGUUCCACGUGGGGAGUACGAUCGCAAGGUUGAAAGUCAAAGGAAUUGACGGGGGCCCGCACAAGAGGUGGAGCAUGUGGGUCAAUGCGAUGCAACGCGAAGAACAUUACGUAGGCUCGAACGCUAGAGGACCGCUCCUGAAAGGGAGCUUCCCCUUUGGGGAUUCUAGCGAGGUAUUGCAUGGCAGUGGUCAGCUCGUGUCGUGAGAUGUUGGGUUAAGUCCCGCAACGAGCGUAACCCUUGUUGAUAGUUACCAUCGGGUAGUGCCGGGGACUCUAGCGAAACUGCGUGCGCAAGCAGUGAGGAAGGUGGGGAAGACGUCAAGUCAUCAUGGUCGUUACGCAUAGGGCUGCACACGUGUUACAAUGGCCGGUACAACGGGUAGCCACCUCGCGAGAGGGAGAGAAUCCCUGAAAACCGGUCCCAGUUCGGAUAGGAGUUUGCAACUCGAAUCCAUGAAGCAGGAAUGGCUAGUAAUCGCGGAUCAGCAAUGCCGCGGUGAAUCCGUUCCCGGGCGUUGUACACACCGCCCGUCAGGCCACUGGAAGCUGAGAACACCCGAAGUCCUGUGAGUCAACUCCGGCCCUGUGCCGGAGCGAGAGCGGCCGAAGGUGAGUUCAGUGACUGGGGCU
This 1480-nucleotide ribosomal RNA is filed under the name uncultured bacterium. Its description in RNAcentral is "bacterial SSU rRNA". It matches the Rfam family "Bacterial small subunit ribosomal RNA". The record is from RNAcentral.